This 7176-nucleotide unclassified non-coding RNA is filed under the name Leishmania donovani. RNAcentral's name for it is "gene:LdHU3.18.1220(CDS-product:hypothetical_prote in_conserved)". Lineage: Eukaryota; Euglenozoa; Kinetoplastea; Trypanosomatida; Trypanosomatidae. The record is from RNAcentral.
GCCCCCCUCCCCUCCCUCCUCCACUGCCUCGCCAUCAAUCACAUCUCGCGCUCAAAAGCGAUCACCGCACACGCCAUACAAGCGCGCAUGCAGCGCGACACAAACACACACACACACACACACACACACACACUGCUCCUUCACCGCUCUCCUCCACCGUAAGCAUCACUUGCGCUCGCUUCGCUGCCCGCCACCGCUGUGUCCGCCAUCUGUCUCACAGGUGCGCACGCGCACACGCCCUCUCUCUAUAUCUGUGGAGAGGGAGAGGGAUUCACUCUUUAACGCAUGUACGCCAUCAUCACCACACAUCCUACCCGCCUCUCUCUUGACGACUGAUGGCUGGCCGCUGUCGUCAUCGUCGCUGACUAUCGUUGUAUUCGUCGCUCGGCUCUUGCGCUCUGCCGCUAUUUUGGCAAGCUCGGGCACAUACGCGCACAGCACAACCUUCACCCCUGUCUGUCUCGCUGUCGCCAGCGAACGCUUAGGUGGCAUCGUGCACCCGCUCCUUCUCUUCCCUCCCUGUCGUGUUAAUGUGUUAUGCCUCUGCCCCCGCCUCAGCAUGAAGGACGACAUCAGAAAGCGGCGCGUCACGCUCCCCUCAAAGCGAAGGCGCCACGUCAGUGUGGCGUGCAGCACGAGCACGCCCGCUCCAACCAAGAGCACUCGAUCCCAUACAUCAAACCUGAAGAGGGGCCCCACCUCCACUACGGACACUUUCACACCGCGGAGGAAGAGUGGAAGCCGCAAGCGCCCACACAGUGGCAGUGCGACAUUGAGUGGAGGAGAACCGGCAGCACAGCCGCCGAGCGCCCGAAGGGCUCGUGGCGCCCCCGUCGCGACAACCGGCGCUUCUGAGGGCAUCGAGACUGUGGAUGUCGCGUCUGUGACCAGAUACUGGAGCAGCGACUGUCGCCGCAUUCCGAGUGCGAGCAGGAUCGACUCGGCCUUGAUGGCAGCUGCAAGAGGGAGCAGCAACCGAAGCUUCAGCUCAAGCAGCUCUGCCACGUCGGCCCCCCUGCUGACUUCUGCGGGGAAUUCGGCCAGCAAUAGCUGCUCCGUGAUCAGCAGACGAAGAGAGGACCCUUCGCCAGGCUCUCCUCGGGUCUCCCCUGGGCCACUCCCAGCUGCCGCCAGCGCCCUCGCCUCCUCCGUCGAUGGCAAAGUGGCGCAGCUCUGCCGCACCCCCGUCACUGCCUCUCCCCCCGCCGCCCCCCUGCAUGCUGCCUUCACCACGCCGCAUUUUAGCGGGCACACACGCGGCUCCGGCAGCGCACCUGGUGGCGUAGGCUCGAAGGGCCCGCCACCCCGCCACAUUAGUAGCCCAGGCAGUGGCAACUUGGAUACGGACGCCCCCUCCUCCUCCUCCUUCCGCGCUAUUCAAAACCCGACGAGCGCGCGGGCGGCGACGCGGGUGCCCUCCCCGUUGCCGGUGAUACAGCAGCGCGGCGGCGAGAUGCGACGGCGUCUAUCUUUCGUGCCGGAAUCGCCAGCUGGUGCGUCGCGGGGCCUCGACACGCCUGGUGUCGUCAACGACGCAGACCCCGCUCAGCCAUCGCCAGCCUCGGGAGUUUCAUCCACGAACUUCCCGCUGGUCGACACGCGGUACAUGCAGCCACCUCCUGCGGCCCAGCCGCCCCUGCACGCGCUCGCUGCCGCAGCUUCGAUGCCAGAACUCGACAUGCCGUCGGUGAAGACGGUGUCCACCGCAUGCCAGCCGUUGCCGCCACCGCCACUGGUACAUCAGCGACGGCAGUCUAUGCCGGCACUCGAAGACGGCCAGCGUGGGGCCUGGGCUGUCAAAGGCAGCUUGGCGCCUGCGGGCUCCCCGCUCUCCUUCGGCGCGAGAAGCUCGUCCCUCAUGAGCGCCUCGCGGCCGUCGAGCAGGAGCGACCGCCGCAGUCCCAGAGAACGCAGCGACGGCGGCCAUCGCGCGGUGGUCUUCCGGUUUUCUAAAGCAGAACAAGAGGAGGGUGUGGCAAUGACGACCCCGCAACGAGAGCAGCAGGAGAGCGGAGAAGGCGACUCCACACCCCAAAGCAGACAGCUGCUCGGGCAGCGCGACCACUCGAUCAGCAACUCGAUGUGCUCCCUCUCCAUAGCCUCGGCAGCAACGUCGAUGGUGGACAAGCUGCCCCCUCCACCGCCUCCGCCGCCGGCGCCGCUGUCGAUUGGGAGAGGAGUUAAGACCGGUGGGGGAACACCGCCGCCGCAGCCCCCUCGCGUAAGUGUUCCCACGAGUCAACUUCUCCAUCAAUUCGACGGUUCAGAAAGUCGCGUGCGCGCGCCGUCUGGGGUUCACGGAAGAGACUACGUCGGGAACGACAGCGCUGGCGGCAGCGUCCUUGACGCGAGCAUCGCCAGCAGUCCUCGCAGCAGCCCCGCCUCUUCCUCAUGGCGGGAGAGCACUGGCCACGUAAAGCCCUUCUUGUUGUCGCCUGUGACGAGUCCGCCCAGAUCCCUAACCAGCAGCAUCCUCGUCCCCUCUGCGGCCGUGCCAAGCACCAGCGAGGACGGUGCAAUUGUCUCCGACGCGAAUGGGCUGCCGUCCUACUCUGGCGCGCGCCAUAGCGGGGCGGCGUCACAAGCACAGCCGUCGCACUACCCCUCAAGCGCCACCUCCCUCCACAGCGCACUGGUGAACGUGCAAAGCAUGGACAGCGCCGACGGCGUGGAGGAGGAGGAGGAGAAGGGCACGCUUGGACUCCGUCAAGCAGUGGCGCCGCCGCUCUUGCUGCCGACUCGUUUCUCCGCGUCAGCAUUGGUGUUCGCCAGUGCGGCAGCAUCGUCGGGCGUGAAAAACGACGCGCUCGACGCUGGCGUCGAUAAGCGGGCAGGCGCCGAGCCAAUUGCCAUGGAUGGCGCCGCCGAUAUCGUGGGUGAGUCAGCGCAGUCCUCCGAAUCGUCGACGCCGCGACCGCGACCGUCCUCCAUGGCCGUCAAGACUACCCAAGGCGCAGGCAAGUCCGAUAGCGACAAGGACCACACCUCCAAGCACAGCAGCGGCGGUGCCUCUGGCAAGGGCAAAGCACUGAUUGCGGCAACCAUCCUGCAGGCGCCGUUGCUCGUGAGCAGUGAAAUCUCCUCUCACGCCCGCCUUUCGAAGGCACAGGCGCUCUCGCCUCGUCAGCAGGAGCUGGCGCAGUCGUUUCGCAAUCGCAUCCAAGUGGGCGUACACCCUCCCCGUCGUCAGCGGUCAGCUCAGCUCGUGACCUCAGCUUCGCGCGACCGGCGUCGCAGCAUCGGCGGCAGCACCGCCAACAGUGACACGAGCCGCUGCUUCGGUGCAGGGCGAAGCGGCAGCGCCAGGCGACGAGAGAGUAGCUUACGGCGCACGAAAGGCCAGUCGAUACAGCAGCCUGUCGCCGCGCUGUCCUUCAUCGCAGUUUCCGUGGUUGCCGUCGCGUAUGCGAAGCUCCUCAGGCCUGUGCAUGCCUUUCGCGUGCGUCGUCGUUUCGAUGAGGUGAUAGCGCCUGCCGCCGCGUACCGCAUCCAGUGCAAGUGGCGGCGGCGCCUGCAGCUGCGCAGGGUGGAGCAGAAGACGGCCGUGCAGCUGCUCGUGCCGUGGAUACGGUUCCGGCUGCAGCGCUUGCGCCGCGCCAAGGAUACAAGUGCGCGUCUGCUACAGCGCGUGUUUCGCGGCGAGGUAGUGCGCUCCCUUCACCGAUACUUGUAUGAGCAGAUAAAGCGCAAUCACGCUCUCGACGUCAUUCGCCGCUACGUGCAGCGCUGGGAAGCACAGAAUCUCUACCGUAGACUGCGGAUGCAGCGCGAUGAGCGGGCCAUCGUGGUGAGUCAGUGCGUCCAAGGGUCCCUGCAGCUGCUUCGGGCAGAGCAAGUCGAGUGGAACGCCAUCGUGCAGGACGGCGCCGAGACACUGCAGAGCAGGCCGUGCGUGCGUACGCAGGACUGGGUGGAAGGCGUGGCCGCGCUGACGGGGGUCGUGCUCGACCCGCGCGCGUCGAACCGCAUCCGCUCACCAGAGGCGAGUCCAGUGGUGUCGACCAGGGCAGGGCCGACAUCUACGGCGCAGCCACGCGAGUGUCUUGCUGCGUUUGCGCGGCUGGAGCAUCAAAUGUUCCGGUUCCGUGGCAUCAAGGACGAUAAGACGGCGAGCAGUAGCGACGGCUCCGUGGCGGCGCACGAUGACGACGACCACUCGUACACUGCGGCGUCGACGGCGGGCGACGGCGCAUCUGACUCGCCGACACCAUCGGGUUCGCUGGCCACGGAGGACGACUUGGUUACCGCUUACCUACAGCUUCUUUGCCGCACCGAGGCCGCGGAGCGGGUGGCGCUGGAGCGUCGGUUGCUGGACGAGCGCCAAGAGCUCCUGCGCGAGCCGCUGCUGCGGUGCAAGGCUAUCUUCUACGCCACCGCGAUGCGGGUUCCACCACUUUUCUCGCCUCUGCUGCUGAGCAUGCCAUCUGAUUUACUGCUGCUCCAGGCCGCUCGUCUCUUCAAAGCGGAGCGAGAGGCGCGAUGCGAGAUCAUUCAGCUGUACGAGUCGAUGCCGCUCGCGUGUCUACGCCGGCCCAUGCUGAGCCCCGCCGCGAAGGCUCGCCACAGCGAGCUCGUGCGGCUCUUGAACGGCGUGGACGACCCGUGGAGUGACGCGGAGCGUAGCGAGCGACGCUUUUACUGCGAGACCGUCGCCUACAAGCACCUUGCCAGCAGCACGAGCAAGCCGGAGGGCAGCGACUCCCUCUCCCACACACCACAGCCGUCGUCGAUCCCGCUCGGUGCCGACGACGCCGACAACGUUCCCUCCCCUCGCUCGGCGGGCCCGUCGCCCGGGGCGACGCACACCAACGGUGAUGACUCUGUGCCACCACUGCGGCCCCUACCGCGCCCAACCUCCUACGGCACUCCGAGCGGACUGCGAGUCUGCAUGAGUGUCACACCACGCAUACACUAUUACGCCAACUCUCUCGUCACGGCAUCUCUGCCGGCGCACGAGACGCUCCUCUUGCCACCCUCCAACAACUUCGCGACCUCAUUGGCGCCAGAGGGCGGCGGUGCCGCGGCGACGGACGAGGACGACCGUCACGCGAACAGCUUUCGGGCCAGCGGGCACCGCGAGAGAAGCGAAGCGCAAAGCAAGACAGCGAUCCCGUCGCCGCACCGCCGCCCACGCGGACCGCCGCUGCCGCUGCUGCGAAAACUGCUGCAAACUCCCGCCCGCGCACGCAGCAGCGCCUCGCGUCCGUCAUUCCGGCGAGUCCCGGCCACCCCUACGCAUCUUCUCAAGAAUAGAGAGGGAGCUAGUGGGCCGUGGCCACCCCUGCUGAGCACCUACCCGAACACCACGCACUUCUGGCUUGUCGGUAUCUGGAGGCCGUCGACGGAGCAAGAGGGAAGAGAUGCAGAGGUUGGUACUGCGGGGACUUCUCAGCGCUCUGCCAACGACGUCUCGCAAGACGCUGACGCAGGAGUCGCGUCGCGGCUGCCCUCCCCUGUCAUCGCGGAGCGGGGGCGCUGUACCACCACGGCACACGCCACAUCGGCGGCGCCGCUACUCCGCGCAAGCUUCGUGGGGCGCACUCCCACAGCCCAACCUGUCGGCGCGCCCGAUCCGGGAUUCAUUCCCUUGACUACAACAGUAGGGUCGAUGCCCAAGACGCGGUGCUCCACCGCAGCGCCGCGAAAGCCCCUGACACCGCCUUCGAUGUUGCAGGAGCUUCCGCUGUGCCGGCGCCAACACAACGAUACCCCCAUCUCGGCGCGAGUUGACAAGGACACCUCCGGUGAUGCCGCGUUGCUCAGCGCCCCAACACCCAACUUCUCCAGCGCUUCUGUUGCGAUUGCGCUUCCGAUUUCCACCACAGCCGCCUCAACGGCAGCGGAGGCCGCCAAUCACCGCAGAGCGGCACGGCGAUCUUCCGACUGCAAGCACUCUCUCCUCUACAUACCCCUCUCCAUGCGAAGCGAGGUGCACGAUGGCGACGUCGAGGUGGCCGGUGCUGAAGCGGAUGCUGAGCUGCACCAAGGGCAGCAGCAGCAGCCGUCCACAACCUCAGCAGCAUCGGCAGCACAGGCUUCCACGCCGUUAGCGGCUUGCCGAGUCGAGGCAGUCGACUUUCCGCGGGCCCCGGCACUUUCCUCGUCUGCAUCGACUGUGGCAGAGAGGAGAGCCGACGGCUGGAACCGGUUUCCCCUCGCCCCGCAGCGGCUCCGCCCACCCACGCCACCGCCGCGUCAAUGCCAUACCGCGCAGUCCGCGGCUCAUAUGGGCGAAGCGCCGGAGAGAAGUGCUGCGCGCAGCAUCGUCGCUGCCAACCCUGCCGAUCGCGCUGGCCACCUUGUCUCGCACAACGGCCCUGCCUCUGCAGCGUCUUUGCUCAGCCUCCAUACCCAUGGACCUCACCACUGGGCUGCAGUCCACAGCGACGGCAGGAAAACCAAUGCAAUGGACGUGAAGAGCAGCGGAAUUAGUAGCAGUGAUGCUAACCGGGCCAUGACGCCGGCCGUCAAGGCGCUGCUAGCACCAGCGGCUCCCGUUGCCGCCGCCGUCGCGGCCGAAACGCAACCUCUGUCGCUCUCCCAGGGAUGAGUGCGCACCGGUUACCUUUAGUGAAAGCAGUGACGCGUGCGCGAAGUGAGCCUGUACGUGUUCAGGCGUAUGUAGAUGUGCGUGUCUGUGGAUUUUUGCUACAACUCGCGUGUAAACUAGAAGCGGGCCCGUCAGAGGUGGCAGACCUGCACCCUCCCUUCUCUUUCUCGGCUGCUUCUCUCGACGCCCCUCACUACCGCGUGUGUGGGCCUGGUUCUUGCCUUUUUUCCUGUUUUGUGCGUGUCCCUCUCCCUCCACUGACUGCAACCGCGUGGGUGUGCGUGCGUGCGCGUCUCUCCUGUGCGCCAUCUGAUUGCCGAUGUAUCAUAGAGGAAACACUCCUCGCACCUGCACAGGGACUAGAUUCACGGUGCGUAUGUGUAUGUGUAUGUGUGUGUGUGUGUUGGUGUGCAGGAGGAAGACGAAAGACGUCGUGGGAAACUUUAUGCAUCCCUUACACACACACGCAACGGUGAGAAACACACAUGUGGGCACGCACGCGCACAGUCUUCGCGCCCCGCCACCUCGAAAUGUAUGCACAUAUGUAUCACUGGUGCCUCUACGUGUUUUAUACACAUGAGCACGCUACGCCUUUGUGUGUGUGUGUGUUUUCGCGCCUCACCAGC